GAUGAACGCUGGCGGCGUGCCUAAUACAUGCAAGUCGAGCGAACGGACGAGAAGCUUGCUUCUCUGAUGUUAGCGGCGGACGGGUGAGUAACACGUGGAUAACCUACCUAUAAGACUGGGAUAACUUCGGGAAACCGGAUCUAAUACCGGAUGAUAUUUUGAACCGCAUGGUUCAAAAGUGAAAGACGGCCUUGCUGUCACUUAUAGAUGGAUCCGCGCUGCAUUAGCUAGUUGGUAAGGUAACGGCUUACCAAGGCAACGAUGCAUAGCCGACCUGAGAGGGUGAUCGGCCACACUGGAACUGGGACACGGUCCAGACUCCUACGGGAGGCAGCAGUAGGGAAUCUUCCGCAAUGGGCGAAAGCCUGACGGAGCAACGCCGCGUGAGUGAUGAAGGUCUUCGGAUCGUAAAGCUCUGUUAUUAGGGAAGAACAUAUGUGUAAGUAACUGUGCACAUCUUGACGGUACCUAAUCAGAAAGCCACGGCUAACUACGUG
This 497-nucleotide ribosomal RNA is filed under the name uncultured bacterium. RNAcentral's name for it is "partial 16S ribosomal RNA". It matches the Rfam family "Bacterial small subunit ribosomal RNA", at positions 28 to 507 of the family's 1533-position model. The record is from RNAcentral.